GUAUGAAAUGUUCCGGAGCAUAUCAACGGCGUAUGGAACAUUUCGGAGCAUAUCAAUAACAAAUACCAAACAAAAGCUCAAACGUCGUCUUUGACAUUGCAUUCAUAUCAUUCUUAUCCAAAGCAUGUACAGAAACACAUAACCAAAGCUCUGGAUAUCAUAUCAAACAUACAGAAGGUGUAGUGGGACCACAGACAGAAUGUGAUUCAUCCAUUUCUGAAUGACCACCAGACAGAAGUCUCCCACGUUUGGGAG
This 255-nucleotide long non-coding RNA is filed under the name Musa acuminata (dwarf banana). Its description in RNAcentral is "long non-coding RNA (MACU_LNC011378)". Lineage: Eukaryota; Viridiplantae; Streptophyta; Magnoliopsida; Zingiberales; Musaceae. The record is from RNAcentral.